RNAcentral lists this ribosomal RNA (253 nucleotides) under uncultured bacterium. RNAcentral's name for it is "partial 16S ribosomal RNA". It matches the Rfam family "Bacterial small subunit ribosomal RNA", at positions 524 to 776 of the family's 1533-position model. The record is from RNAcentral.
UACGGGGGGGGUAAGCGUUGUUCGGAAUUACUGGGCGUAAAGGGCUCGUAGGCGGCCAACUAAGUCAGACGUGAAAUCCCUCAGCUUAACCGGGGAACUGCGUCUGAUACUGGAUGGCUUGAGUUCGGGAGAGGGAUGCGGAAUUCCAGGUGUAGCGGUGAAAUGCGUAGAUAUCUGGAGGAACACCGGUGGCGAAGGCGGCAUCCUGGACCGACACUGACACUGAGGAGCGAAAGCCAGGGGAGCAAACGGG